Molecule: long non-coding RNA, 2086 nt
Organism: Acanthaster planci (crown-of-thorns starfish)
Lineage: Eukaryota; Metazoa; Echinodermata; Asteroidea; Valvatida; Acanthasteridae
Source: RefSeq, a predicted model, not a curated record
CUAUUUUCAAGAUGUAUUAAUGUAAAUUAACAUCUCCCCAACGUGAAAAAUACAUCUUGAAAAUAGAAGGAUAUUGCUGAUUGGAUAAUAAUUCAUUUGCAAGUGAAAAAGAAGGGUUUUGAUUGAUCAGAAGUUUUUACACAGAUCAGCGGGGAGUAUGAACGAGUACAUGUAGGUGCAAAAGUAUGCUUUCAUAUGAGUGAAAGGAUUGUGUUAUGCAUGUAUGAAGAAUUUUAGAGCAGAAAAUCGGAAAAUCGGUUGAGAAAAAUCAGACAUUCCCUAUACAAACCUAGGGGACAUUCCCUGCAAUAGCACUCUGGUGGGCACACUUUGUGGAUGAGAGCCUGAUGAUGUUUGCAGAUCUCAACCUUUAUCUUGUCUGAAGCAUCUGUUAACGUUUUUAAUUUACCUCGUCACCGCUGUGGACUUGCAGGUUUGUUGAAACUGUUACUGAUUUUAUGAGGUACUUUAAAGCGAAGUAACUUGUUAUGAAGAUGGUUGCAUAGGCGUAUAUUGAUGUGAAUGUGGUGUUUGCUAAUUGUUAAGUGCUGUAGUCACAUGAGGGCGUUAUUCAUGUUGUCCAUGAAUCGCUCGGUACGUUGCCGUGUAGUAAUCUUGGUGUUUUGGACAUGCUAUGCGGACAAGAGAGAUAGUGCCAGGUUUAAUAAUGCAUUCAUUUAUAAAAUGAUAAUGGCUUGCUUGUGAGUUACAGAUAAAUGUAAAUGGGUAGAUAUUUAAUAGUCCAGAUCGAUUAAUAGAGGGAUUAAGUUGCAAUCAGUUAAGCUCCAGUGCCCAUGAAUAUACGUGUAAAGUGGUCGUUCGCGCCACAACCUCGGAUUCCUUCCAAAACUUUUGGACAACUUUGUAGUCGUCAGGUUCAGGGCCUGGAAUGAUCCUGUGGAUUUGCUGAAUUGUACCAGCAGGGUUUGGGGCCCUAGGCUAGGGGCAGAUUGGCUAUAUCGACUUAUACGUUAGUGCUAGGAGCCAGACUAUUCGCUGCUGCUGCUGCUGGCAACUCCACAUCUAGAGCCACAGGAAAGCUGAAACGAACGGUGAGAAAUGGAAACAUCCUUUGAGUUAAGCCUGAAAGGCCGCGACGGGUUGUGUCCAGCACUGGUGGACGGAAAAUGAUGCAACAAAAACGACUUGCCUCAUAAUUAUGCAUUAUAUUGUCGUCACGCUGCCUGAAUUUAAUGUUUCUGGCAAUCAAACAUCACUGCAAAAUAAAGUGCAGAACUUUUUAAGUGUUGAAACCAGUCUCCAUUAACCUGUCGAUAGUGACAUGAACCAAUCUGCCUACGUCCAUUAGCCUGGGGGUCUUGGAACUUUGAAGGACACGAAGAUGAAACAUCCUCUACUUUCCCAUUGGAGAGGGAAAACGGGGGCAUCGGCGCUUACGGGCGGUGACACACACAGUGUGGACAGAUGGAGUCAUCAGCCGCUGUGUAGUGGAUUUUAUCGGCAAUCGGUACGCGCAAUCCUGAUGGUCGCAGUUUUCUUUGUAGUGGGCUCGGUGUUGAUCAUGAUGAGCCAUCCUGGGUACUUCAAGGAGAGCAUUGUAAAGGUAGAAAACAAGUGUUUUGUAUUCGUGCUUAGUAAAUGUAAAUAAAAACUUUCCUGCACCAAGUUGGCAGGAUUUUUCCUGUUUGAAAAUGUACAAAUCGCAUCCUUCUUCAGCAAUAGAACCAGCAUGCACCAAUGGCAUAUCAUGUGCAUCUAUUGGCACUGUUGUGCAAAAUAGAUCUGUAAGUGAAAGGAAAAUAAACUGUUCGUUUUUAAGGCAUUGAGACCAGCUACCAUCCUAAACAAACUUGUUGGGACACGUGUCAAUAGCCAUACCCUUUCCAGGUCCCCCACUCUUCCGGUCAAUGUUGUCAUGUCGAGCUGGAGCGCAGAUUGCGCAUUGAGAUCCAACAUUGAGAGGGGGCCAGGGGGUGGAGGGCCCGACAAGAUUUGGCCAGGAUUGUCUGAACUGGUUCAUAGUUGUGAGUGUGGGUUUGCGUGUGCGUUCCGACGUUGUUCUUGGAAAGCAUAAAAUGACAGCCACCGGUUGAAUAGAAGAUAUUUUUGCACAAAUUGUACAAGU